Molecule: ribosomal RNA, 431 nt
Filed under: uncultured bacterium
Lineage: Bacteria
Description: partial 16S ribosomal RNA
Rfam family: Bacterial small subunit ribosomal RNA
Source: RNAcentral
AACGAACGCUGGCGGCAGGCUUAACACAUGCAAGUCGAACGCCCCGCACCUGCAGUUGCAGACUGCUGGGUAACCCGUGGGAACAUACCCUUUUCUACGGCAUAGCUCUGGGAAACGGGAAACUAUACCGAAUACGGCCUACGGGGGAAGGAUGGCUCGGGGAGGGUUUGGGGCGCGGGGGAUUAGCGAGGUGGUGGGGUAAAGGCCUAGCAAGGCUACGAUCCGGAGCUGGUCUGAGAGGAUGAUCAGCCACAGUGGGGAUGCGACACGGCCCAAACUCCUACGGGAGGGAGGAGUGGAGAAUAUUGGAGGAGGGGCGCAAGCCUGGUACAGCCGUGCGGGGUGAGUGAUGAAGGCGUUAGGGUUGCAAAGCUCUUUCACCGAUGAAGAUAAUGACGGUAGUGGGAGAAGAAGCCCCGGCUAACUUCGUG